Bombus terrestris (buff-tailed bumblebee) is the source of this 1605-nucleotide long non-coding RNA. RefSeq lists it as uncharacterized. The transcript is spliced from 5 exons. NCBI's taxonomy places the organism in Eukaryota, Metazoa, Arthropoda, Insecta, Hymenoptera, Apidae. The record is from RefSeq and is a predicted model, not a curated record.
AAAAGGACACUUUUAUUCUUUCAUUUAAAAGUUUAUGUGACAGAUUUACAGCUUUCCUUGGAAGAUAUAUUUAAAUUCUUCUGAAGAUAUUUCCUUUAAAAUUUGCGGCUUAUUUGAAGAAAAUACCAGGCACCAGGUAAGUAAACGAAGCAUUAAAGUUUCUGCCGGUUUAACGUUAUUCUUUGUAAGUUAGAUUAUAAAUGGAACACGGUACAUAGUAUCCGUGUUCCAGUCACAGAUGAUCAGGAUAUACACCGAGUGACGUCAAAACAUGUUGAACGAAUCUGUUAGAAUGAUAUGCAUAUGUAUACUGUGACGUAAGUAAAAGAUUCCUCCGGGCAAUGGAAGGAGGGGAAGAAUGUGUUUAAAGAGACUCGUCCGUCCAACGUUGACCUUCCGUCCGAAUAUCCACGUGUUCCACUCGGUGGCUAGGAAAGAAACGCGGCUUUGCGGCUGUUUUAUACGGUACAAAUAUCUGCAACUCUUCUUGAGACCGUCAUUAAAGAGACGAGAAGCGGUGUUAGAAAACGGGCAAAACGCCAGCGGUAUAUAACAUUAAACUGGGAAACAAAGAUACGAGGAUCGAAUGUAGUCAGCCAGUAAUAAUCGCUGCAUUAUUUUCAUUGGUUCACCGGAUAAAGCGCAUCCGGCCCUUGAAUACCGCGUGCGGUCAGGAAUACCAUACCGAGUAACUUUUAAAAGGAAACAUAUAGAAAAUAAUAUUUAAAUAUUCUCAACGCGAGAAUGAGACAAUCUUAUUUUCAUCCUUCUUCGUUUAUCGUUCCCUUAACCCUGCGGUUUGGCUUGGCGUCACAGCGUUUCGAUCUUCUACCUCGUAACCAUGCGGAGAUAUUGGAUUUCUCCCGGGAUUAUGGAACAAGGUGUGUUCCCCGUCGCCCCAUGGAAAAGGCUAUAGAAGGGAAAUAUUUAUAAGUCACUUACAGGGAUAAGGCUUGAAAGGUCUCAGCUUGUGAAAUCGGUCACGAUGUAAAAUUAUCAAAUCCUCGAGGCAAGAAAGAAGAAAAGGUAAUGAAGGGAAAAGUAUCAAAUUUCCGUGGUGAAGGCAAACGAUUCGUAAGACUUCAUUAAUCGAUUACGGAGAAUACCGCACAAAUGGAUUACCUUUCAGAGAUGUACGAAGCAGAGAGCUUCGUUAGACCGAAGAAUCAGUAUAAAGCUUAGAUGUUACGCAAAAGUACCUUAGUUAUUCGCCUCAUAUAAGGAACAUCAAUGAACACAGGCCUCGGUUGUUUAUCCGAUUCUUCCACCUUGGUGUAAACGUAACACGAUAUACCUAUUAACACGAUCGCACCGAUGGCAGUCACCAGUUGCAAAAGUUUCUCUUCAUAGGCCACUGUACUUGCAAAGCCACAAGUUAUAUCGUUAAGUAACGUACAUACAACGAAGCUGAUAAAGUUUUUCGCGCAUCGCUAAACAGCAAAGAUGAAAAUUCAGCUGCUAACUAAAGAGUUUAAAACUUUACCUGUAGGACAGUAAUCUUUUACGUCCGGACAAGGGAACGGCGAAUGCUCUUCGCAAUCAUCCUCAACUGGUAAUUGACAUUUUCUCGAAGAUUUUGGACAUUCUUCCGCAUCUUCGUCAAAC